CAGUCGCCGCGGUAAUACGGAGGGUGCAAGCGUUAAUCGGAAUUACUGGGCGUAAAGCGCACGCAGGCGGUUUGUUAAGUCAGAUGUGAAAUCCCCGAGCUUAACUUGGGAACUGCACUUGAAACUGGCAAGCUAGAGUCUUGUAGAGGGGGGUAGAAUUCCAGGUGUAGCGGUGAAAUGCGUAGAGAUCGGGAGGAACAUCAGUGGCGAAGGCGGCCAUCUGGGACAACACUGACGCUGAGGCACGAAAGCGUGGGGAGCAAACAGGAUUAGAUACCCGCGUAGUCCCUGUCUCUAUACC
Molecule: ribosomal RNA, 301 nt
Filed under: uncultured bacterium
Lineage: Bacteria
Description: partial 16S ribosomal RNA
Rfam family: Bacterial small subunit ribosomal RNA
Source: RNAcentral